This is a long non-coding RNA of Scleropages formosus (Asian bonytongue), 545 nucleotides long. RefSeq lists it as uncharacterized. Lineage: Eukaryota; Metazoa; Chordata; Actinopteri; Osteoglossiformes; Osteoglossidae. The transcript is spliced from 2 exons. The record is from RefSeq and is a predicted model, not a curated record.
AGCUUGAACCCCAGACCCACUGGAGAGCAGGACCCGGUCAAACCCACUGCACCACCACACCCUGUGUUUUGGGAUGAAUGUCCCUGCAAUAUUCCAUGACUUAUGAAAAACAUUAGGAGUACCGAGAGAGUAAUCGUUGGACAAAGCUUGGAGGAUUAUUAAGGAGUCCUCUCUCCAUCAGUCUCAAGUAAUAAAUUGCAGUAAGCAUUAUCAGGGUUGAUUGCAAUUAACUAUAGUGCAAUGCAAAUGUAAAUAUUAUAACACUGGAAAAACUUGAAGGACUGCAACAUGUUUGUGUAUAUAAUGAAACCCAUGGUGCACUUAAAAUGUAACGCCUCUAAACUAAAAUUGGGUAAUGCAGAAGCACUACUGCAGACAUGAAUAGGUGUCAUAGUGUCUGUAACUUUAUAGCAAGCCCAAAAUUGACAAAUUUGCACAUUCUGGAAACAAUGUGAAUGUACUGACUGUAGACAAAUAUAAGUUAUAAACUGUUCAGGAGCUUGUCUGCUCUCAGCAGUCAAAUAUAAUAAAAAAUUGAUACACGC